This 394-nucleotide ribosomal RNA is filed under the name uncultured bacterium. Its description in RNAcentral is "bacterial SSU rRNA". It matches the Rfam family "Bacterial small subunit ribosomal RNA", at positions 30 to 422 of the family's 1533-position model. The record is from RNAcentral.
AUUGAACGCUGGCGGCAUGCCUUACACAUGCAAGUCGAACGGCAGCACGGGAGCAAUCCUGGUGGCGAGUGGCGAACGGGUGAGUAAUAUAUCGGAACGUGCCCAGUCGUGGGGAUAACGUAGCGAAAGCUACGCUAAUACCGCAUACGAUCUAUGGAUGAAAGCGGGGGAUCGCAAGACCUCGCGCGAUUGGAGCGGCCGAUAUCAGAUUAGGUAGUUGGUGAGGUAAAGGCUCACCAAGCCGACGAUCUGUAGCUGGUCUGAGAGGACGACCAGCCACACUGGGACUGAGACACGGCCCAGACUCCUACGGGAGGCAGCAGUGGGGAAUAUUGGACAAUGGGCGAAAGCCUGAUCCAGCAAUGCCGCGUGAGUGAUGAAGGCUCGGUGUAAG